RNAcentral lists this ribosomal RNA (71 nucleotides) under Clostridium perfringens. Its description in RNAcentral is "partial 16S ribosomal RNA". It matches the Rfam family "Bacterial small subunit ribosomal RNA", at positions 1 to 69 of the family's 1533-position model. Lineage: Bacteria; Bacillati; Bacillota; Clostridia; Eubacteriales; Clostridiaceae. The record is from RNAcentral.
UUUAAAUUGAGAGUUUGAUCCUGGCUCAGGAUGAACGCUGGCGGCGUGCUUAACACAUGCAAGUCGAGCGA